GUCUCAGCGCGUAGUGGCUAACGCACGCCCCCGGUUAGGCGCGAGAUGCGGGUUCGAAUCCCGCCUGAGAUG
RNAcentral lists this transfer RNA (72 nucleotides) under Nippostrongylus brasiliensis. It matches the Rfam family "tRNA". Rfam says of the family: Transfer RNA (tRNA) molecules are approximately 80 nucleotides in length. Lineage: Eukaryota; Metazoa; Nematoda; Chromadorea; Rhabditida; Heligmosomidae. The record is from Rfam by way of RNAcentral.